RNAcentral lists this non-coding RNA (32 nucleotides) under Geobacter sulfurreducens KN400. The record is from RNAcentral. Lineage: Bacteria; Pseudomonadati; Thermodesulfobacteriota; Desulfuromonadia; Geobacterales; Geobacteraceae.
GUGGAGUUGACGGUGUAGAGCUUGGCCGAACC